RNAcentral lists this transfer RNA (73 nucleotides) under Diaphorina citri (Asian citrus psyllid). It matches the Rfam family "tRNA". Rfam says of the family: Transfer RNA (tRNA) molecules are approximately 80 nucleotides in length. Their secondary structure includes four short double-helical elements and three loops (D, anti-codon, and T loops). Lineage: Eukaryota; Metazoa; Arthropoda; Insecta; Hemiptera; Psyllidae. The record is from Rfam by way of RNAcentral.
GCCUAGUUAGCUUAGUUGGUAGUGCGUCUGCCUUGUAAGCGCUAGGCCGUGAGUUCGAUUCCCGCCCGGGGCG